RNAcentral lists this ribosomal RNA (253 nucleotides) under uncultured bacterium. RNAcentral describes it as "partial 16S ribosomal RNA". It matches the Rfam family "Bacterial small subunit ribosomal RNA", at positions 524 to 776 of the family's 1533-position model. The record is from RNAcentral.
UACGGGGGGGGCAAGCGUUGUUCGGAAUUACUGGGCGUAAAGGGCGCGUAGGCGGCGCGACAAGUCACUUGUGAAAUCUCCGGGCUUAACCCGGAGCGGCCAAGUGAUACUGUAGUGCUAGAGUGCGGAAGGGGCUACUGGAAUUCUCGGUGUAGCGGUGAAAUGCGUAGAUAUCGAGAGGAACACCUGCGGCGAAGGCGGGUAGCUGGGCCGACACUGACGCUGAGGCGCGAAAGCUAGGGGAGCGAACGGG